RNAcentral lists this ribosomal RNA (301 nucleotides) under uncultured bacterium. Its description in RNAcentral is "partial 16S ribosomal RNA". It matches the Rfam family "Bacterial small subunit ribosomal RNA", at positions 509 to 807 of the family's 1533-position model. The record is from RNAcentral.
CAGCCGCCACGGGAAUACAGAGGGUGCGAGCGUUAAUCGGAUUUACUGGGCGUAAAGCGUGCGUAGGCGGCUUUUUAAGUCGGAUGUGAAAUCCCUGAGCUUAACUUAGGAAUUGCAUUCGAUACUGGGAAGCUAGAGUAUGGGAGAGGAUGGUAGAAUUCCAGGUGUAGCGGUGAAAUGCGUAGAGAUCUGGAGGAAUACCGAUGGCGAAGGCAGCCAUCUGGCCUAAUACUGACGCUGAGGUACGAAAGCAUGGGGGGCAAACAGGAUUAGAUACCCCCGUAGUCCCUGUCUCUUAUAC